AAUACACUAGAUUGUCAGUCGCUCUGAAUAAGAGCGUCUGCUAAAUGACUCAAA
This is a non-coding RNA of Salmo salar (Atlantic salmon), 54 nucleotides long. The record is from Rfam. Lineage: Eukaryota; Metazoa; Chordata; Actinopteri; Salmoniformes; Salmonidae.